Molecule: long non-coding RNA, 1357 nt
Filed under: Homo sapiens (human)
Lineage: Eukaryota; Metazoa; Chordata; Mammalia; Primates; Hominidae
Description: non-protein coding lnc-RAB6D-13:1
Source: RNAcentral
CUAAAAGUUAUCAUUCUAACAAUCACACUGCUACCAAUAACAUGACUCUCUAAAAAUCCUAUACUCUGGAUGAAUAUAACCACUCACAGCCUAAUUAUCAGCUUUAUUGCCCUAUUAUUCUUUAAUCAAUUCAACGACAAUCUAUUCAACUCCUCAUCAACUUUCUCCUCUGAUCCCCUAACAUCACCCCUUCUAAUCUUAACAGCCUGGCCAUUACCUCUUAUAAUUACAGCAAGCCAGUAUCACCUCUCCAGUGAAUCCCUCCCACAGAAAAAGCUCUAUAUUUCCAUAUUGAUCUCCCUACAGGUUUUUCUAAUUACAGCAUUUACAGCCACAGAACUAAUUAUAUUUUAUAUUCUCUUUGAAACUACACUUAUCCCCACCUUAAUUAUUAUUACCCGCUGGGGCAACCAACUAGAAUGCCUCAAUGCAAGCACAUAUUUCUUACUUUAUACACUAGUAGGAUCUCUCCCCCUACUUAUUAUACUUACUUACACCCAAAAUAUCCUAGGCUCACUGAGCAUAAUAACAUUUAAUACCCAACAACUAUUAAUUUCCUGAUCCAACAACUUUAUAUGGUGUGUAUAAUGGCUUUUAUGCUAAAAAUACCCCUAUACGGACUUCACCUAUGACUUCCUAAAGCCCAUGUAGAAACUCCUAUUGCCAGUUCAAUAGUACUUGCAGCAGGACUCCUAAAACUAGGCGGCUAUGGCAUAAUACGACUUAACCCUUAUCCUCAGCCCCCUGACAGAAUAUAUAGUCUAUCCCUUCCUCAUGUUAUCCUUAUGAGGUAUAGUUAUGAGAAGCUCUAUCUGUCUAUGACAAACUGAUCUAAAGUCACUUAUUGCAUAUUCCUCCGUAAGCCAUAUGGCACUUGUUAUUAUGGCUAUCCUUAUUCAAAUCCCCUGAAGCUUUAUCUUGCUAUUAUCCUCAUAAUUGCCCACGGACUUACUUCGUCCCUACUUUUCUGCCUAGCAAAUUCAAACUACAAGCGAACCCACAGCCGAAUCAUAUUACUCUCUCAAGGGCUUCAAAUAUUAUUUCCACUAAUACCCUUUUGCUUAUAGCAAAUCUUACUAACCCUGCCUUACCCCCCUCCACUAAUCUAAUAGGUGAACUCCUCGUAAGAGUGGCUUCACUCUCCUGAUCAAAUAUUACCAUUAUGCUUAUAGGAUGUAAUAUAUUAAUUACAGCCCUUUAUUUCCUUCACAUCCUUGUCACAACACACCAGCAAACACUUACUUAUUAUAUUAACAGUAUUAAGCCCUCCUUUACAUGAAAAACUAUAUUAAUAUUUAUACACCUUUCACCUAUUCUAUUAUCUCUAAACCCUAAAAUUAUUAUACAGUCUAUACCC